RNAcentral lists this ribosomal RNA (473 nucleotides) under uncultured bacterium. Its description in RNAcentral is "bacterial SSU rRNA". It matches the Rfam family "Bacterial small subunit ribosomal RNA", at positions 335 to 799 of the family's 1533-position model. The record is from RNAcentral.
ACUCCUACGGGAGGCAGCAGUGGGGAAUAUUGCACAAUGGGCGCAAGCCUGAUGCAGCCAUGCCGCGUGUAUGAAGAAGGCCUUCGGGUUGUAAAGUACUUUCAGCAGUGAGGAAGGUGGUGUCGUUAAUAGCGGCAUCAUUUGACGUUAGCUGCAGAAGAAGCACCGGCUAACUCCGUGCCAGCAGCCGCGGUAAUACGGAGGGUGCGAGCGUUAAUCGGAAUUACUGGGCGUAAAGCGCAUGCAGGUGGUUUGUUAAGUCAGAUGUGAAAGCCCGGGGCUCAACCUCGGAAUUGCAUUUGAAACUGGCAGACUAGAGUACUGUAGAGGGGGGUAGAAUUUCAGGUGUAGCGGUGAAAUGCGUAGAGAUCUGAAGGAAUACCGGUGGCGAAGGCGGCCCCCUGGACAGAUACUGACACUCAGAUGCGAAAGCGUGGGGAGCAAACAGGAUUAGAUACCCUGGUAGGAAAGCG